Molecule: long non-coding RNA, 311 nt
Filed under: Physcomitrium patens
Lineage: Eukaryota; Viridiplantae; Streptophyta; Bryopsida; Funariales; Funariaceae
Description: long non-coding RNA (PPAT_LNC003837)
Source: RNAcentral
AACAAUAAGAAAUCUUAAAGGAGUUGAAAAAAAAUCUACUAUAAACUUUAAAAGAUUCUUUAAGAAGUCCUAAAAAAUAUUAAAAUAAUCACAAAUAUAUCUUAAAUAAAUCUUAAUGAAGUUUUAAUUUAAACUUGAUUGAAAUCCUAAUGGACUUCAAUCAAAUCCUAGACAAAUCAUAAAUCUUAAAUCAAAUCCUAAAUCAAAUUCUAGACAAAUGCUAAAUCCUAAAUCAAACUAUCGAUCCUAAAUCAAACCUUAAAUCAAACCCUAAAUCAAAUCCUAGACAAAUCCUAAAUUCUAAAUCAAAU